Molecule: ribosomal RNA, 253 nt
Filed under: uncultured bacterium
Lineage: Bacteria
Description: partial 16S ribosomal RNA
Rfam family: Bacterial small subunit ribosomal RNA
Source: RNAcentral
UACAGAGAGUGCGAGCGUUAAUCAGAAUUACUGGGCGUAAAGCGCAUGUAGGUGGACAACUAAGUCGAAUGUGAAAGCCCCGGGCUUAACUUGGGAAUUGCAUCCGAUACUGGUUGUCUAGAGUAUGGUAGAGGGAAGUGGAAUUUCCGGUGUAGCGGUGAAAUGCGUAGAUAUCGGAAGGAACACCAGUGGCGAAAGCGGCUUCCUGGACUAAUACUGACACUGAGAUGCGAAAGCGUGGGGAGCAAACAGG